CAGUCGCCGCGGUAAUGCGAAGGGUGCAAGCGUUAAUCGGAAUUACUGGGCGUAAAGCGUGCGUAGGCGGUGAGUUAAGUCUGCUGUGAAAUCCCCGGGCUCAACCUGGGAAUGGCAGUGGAUACUGGCUCGCUAGAGUGUGUCAGAGGAUGGUGGAAUUCCCGGUGUAGCGGUGAAAUGCGUAGAGAUCGGGAGGAACAUCAGUGGCGAAGGCGGCCAUCUGGGACAACACUGACGCUGAGGCACGAAAGCGUGGGGAGCAAACAGGAUUAGAUACCCCAGUAGUCCCUGUCUCUUAUAC
This 301-nucleotide ribosomal RNA is filed under the name uncultured bacterium. RNAcentral describes it as "partial 16S ribosomal RNA". It matches the Rfam family "Bacterial small subunit ribosomal RNA", at positions 509 to 807 of the family's 1533-position model. The record is from RNAcentral.